AGAGCGAACGCUGGCGGCAGGCUUAACACAUGCAAGUCGAACGGACUCUUCGGAGUUAGUGGCGGACGGGUGAGUAACACGUGGGAACGUGCCUUUAGGUUCGGAACAACACAGGGAAACUUGUGCUAAUACCGGAUAAGCCUUUCGAGGGAAAGAUUUAUCGCCUUUAGAGCGGCCCGCGUCUGAUUAGCUAGUUGGUGAGGUAAAGGCUCACCAAGGCUACGAUCAGUAGCUGGU
RNAcentral lists this ribosomal RNA (237 nucleotides) under uncultured bacterium. RNAcentral describes it as "partial small subunit ribosomal RNA". It matches the Rfam family "Bacterial small subunit ribosomal RNA", at positions 26 to 291 of the family's 1533-position model. The record is from RNAcentral.